AUUGAACGCUGGCGGCAGGCUUAACACAUGCAAGUCGAGCGGGGUGAUGGUGCUUGCACUAUCACUUAGCGGCGGACGGGUGAGUAAUGCUUAGGAAUCUGCCUAUUAGUGGGGGACAACAUCUCGAAAGGGAUGCUAAUACCGCAUAUGUCCUACGGGAGAAAGCAGGGGAUCACUUGUGACCUUGCGCUAAUAGAUGAGCCUAAGUCGGAUUAGCUAGUUGGUGGGGUAAAGGCCUACCAAGGCGACGAUCUGUAGCGGGUCUGAGAGGAUGAGCCGCCACACUGGGACUGAGAAACGGCCCAGACUCCUACGGGAGGCAGCAGUGGGGAAUAUUGGACAAUGGGGGGAACCCUGAUCCAGCCAUGCCGCGUGUGUGAAGAAGGCCUUAUGGUUGUAAAGCACUUUAAGCGAGGAGGAGGCUCUUUUGGUUAAUACCCAAGAUGAGUGGACGUUACUCGCAGAAUAAGCACCGGCUAACUCUGUGCCAGCCGCCGCGGUAA
RNAcentral lists this ribosomal RNA (503 nucleotides) under uncultured bacterium. RNAcentral's name for it is "partial 16S ribosomal RNA". It matches the Rfam family "Bacterial small subunit ribosomal RNA", at positions 30 to 523 of the family's 1533-position model. The record is from RNAcentral.